CGAGCGGCGGACGGCUGAGUAACGCGUGGGAAUCUGCCCCGAAGUGAGGAAUAACUGCCCGAAAGGGUGGCUAAUGCCGCAUGUGGUCUUCGGAUUAAAGCUUUAUGUGCUUCGGGAGGAGCCCGCGUAAGAUUAGAUUGUUGGUGAGGUAAUGGCUCACCAAGUCUACGAUCUUUAACUGGUUUGAGAGGAUGAUCAGUCAGACUGGAACUGAGAAACGGUCCAGACUCC
RNAcentral lists this ribosomal RNA (231 nucleotides) under uncultured bacterium. RNAcentral describes it as "partial 16S ribosomal RNA". It matches the Rfam family "Bacterial small subunit ribosomal RNA", at positions 92 to 339 of the family's 1533-position model. The record is from RNAcentral.